Molecule: long non-coding RNA, 5965 nt
Filed under: Sus scrofa (pig)
Lineage: Eukaryota; Metazoa; Chordata; Mammalia; Artiodactyla; Suidae
Description: lncRNA (ENSSSCG00005017041.1)
Source: RNAcentral
GAGGUUGCCAGGGCAAGACUAAAGAGGAAAUCUCCUGAAUGCACCCCUGGGUAGACACCUGCGUGAUGCUGGGAAGGAAUCUAGGAAAAUCUAGGUCACAGGUGGCUUUAGUUCAUAUCUAAGAGGUCCCAGCUGAUUGGCUCAAUCAAAAGACAGACGCCAGACAGAAGAACUCCAUGUCUCUCCAGCAGGAAACUUGGUAGGCAUGUUGGGUGGUCCUGGCACAUCUGCUAGCUUUCUUCAUGGACUUCCCAUCCCACUUACAAUGAAUCCAAAUGACUCACCACAGCUUAUCCAGCCCUCCAGGACCUGGCCCUAACCUGCUCCUCUGGUUGCAUCUCCUAUCCCGCUCUCCGCUGCUCCAGGUGCACUGGAACCUGCUGGAAUGUUCUCACCACAGGACUCCAGCUGCGGCUGCUCCUGAGAACAGUCUAAGCAGCAUCUGGUUACACGGCUUUCUCCUUCACCUCAUCAGGUGUUUGCGCUAACACAGCCUCCAUUUCUGACUCCCUUCCUCCAAAGAGCCCACCCUACCCCUUCGCCGCUAUCAUCUUACACUACUUAAUUUUCUUUGUAGUGCUCACUCUCUGAAAUUAUAUUACUUUUGUUGGCUUGUUUGUCAUUCACCUCUUCCACUGGAAUAAUACACACUCCACAAGGACAAAAGUCUAUUCCUCUGCCUGAUUCACUAAAGAAUCUGAAUUUUCCAAAAACCUAUCUGGGCACAGAGGAAGGUCUCAAUAAGUAAAUAUCUGUGGAAUGAAUAAACAGACAUAAAUUUGUCGCACUGACAUAAAUACAUUUUAUGAAAUAAUAAUGAACAUCAUAUGCAAAUCAUCACUGAUAAGAUGAAAGUAGGAGUUCCCACUGUGGUGCGGCAGGUUAAGGAUCUGGCAUGGUCUCUGCACUGGCGCAGGUUCGAUUCUCAGCCCAACACAGUGAGUUAAGGAUCCUGUGUUGCCACAGCUGCAGCUCGGAUUCAAUUCCUGGCCCAGGAACUUCCAUCUACCGAGGGUGAGACCAAAAAAAACCACAGCCAAAGGGCCAAAGGCAUAAGCGUUUGUGUGUUACAUUAUAUGCCAAGAGCCGACUGGCAGAACUGCCUUGGGCACUCCUCUGUUCUUCCUGACCUUAAAAUCCAUUUGAAACGAGGCUCUGGCUGUACCAGUUUGGAAGUCCUCAGAAGUUCACUAAGAUCUUUUUUUUUUUUUUUUUUUUUGGUCUUUUUGCUAUUUCUUGGGCUGCUCCCGAGGCAUAUGGAGGUUCCCAGGCUAGGGGGGGCUGCCUUAAAAAGCAAAAAACAAAACAAAGAAAACAAACACGGUAAUCUUUAAAAUCACAACACAGCCAGUACUACCAUUCAUUUUCGGACAGCAAGAGGAAAAGAGCAUUCUUGUAGCUAGCUUUCACUCUCCAUGGCCUCUUUUCUUUAAGACUAGUAAACUGCACCAUUUAGACCAACCUUCAAGAGUUAAUCCAGUUCCUUCGCUAAGUAGGUGAGUCAUGCUUCCUGUUCCCCAUCUCACAAAGGCCACCCUUCUGCCCAGCACAGCACACAACACCAGAUCUUUCUGGCAAAGGGUGCGGGAGACUCAAGAGCAGAGAUAUUUAUAAACAAGACUUUUGUGGAAGAAAACCUUCAGUGCCACCCAGUAAUACUUGUAUUUUCCAUACUUAGUGUAUAAUUAAAUCCAUGAGAACUAUAAAAUGCAGGUUAACAUGCCUUUUUUUUUAUAUCUAAUAAAUACAUUUCACUCUUUAAUCCUGAUUUAUACCUUCAGCUUAUAAUUUAGCCCACGUGUAGAACUUUGGUUUUUUUUUUCCCUCCAUCAACCCAGUUUCUUAAGACUCUUAACAGUGCAACACACUCACACUUCAUGAAACAAGUAUUGGAACUAGAGAGUCAAUGGCCAUGCCCCCUUUUGGUCAGGUCCAUCACAGUACACUCAUCCAGCCAAGAAGUCCGAGGAAGCUGAGUGAGUUUGCAAAGUAUGUUAAUAAGGAAGCAACAUAAACUAAGAGGACCCUUGAGUGAAAGGGGGCGUGGUGCCGUCUAAACUCACCACAGCAAACCCUAGGCUCGAAAGGCAACUCAAUGUUUACAACUGUACUUUUACUGGGGCCUUAGAACAACACCGUAAGGUAGAUGGGGCGAAUAUCACUACCUCCAAUUUUAAGGACCAGAAAAUCAGAUCAAAGAAUGCUGGAUCCCAGGAGGGGGCAGAAGUAGGAAUAAAAGUCACAUCUCCUCUUUUCUUGUCUAUUCAUUCUCCUCCUACCAUAUCAUUUGACCUCUCACGUACAAUGACCAGCCUGGAAAAAUGAUGCUGGUAAAUUCACCCCAGACCCCUCAACUUGUACCCCCUACUCCCCUUUUUUUAAUCCUCUUAUAGGAGCUUAUUACAUGAAAAGAAAUCAGGAAAGCAGAACUGAAACUUAAAGCUUAUUCCACUGAUAAGGAUACUUAUACAGGAAGCAAUAAAUUACCAUUGCUUCCUGUUUUCAAGUAUUCUUAUCUGUAGGACACUACAUUUUUUUCCACCACAGAAUCUCACAUUUAGGACACUUCCCGAAAUAGAAUCUUCUGAUCUUCAGCUGUCAGCUGAAGUUGUUUCAUAAAUAGCCCAGCAUAUGUACUCCGGAGGCUUGCUAACACUCUAAAUGCAAAUAUAGUCCAGUCACACCAAUUCCUCUUAGGCUCUGGUGACAAUUGAGAACGUACAAAAUCCAGCAGCCCCAGAAAUUCUAUGGAGGAGCCCAAGAAUGUCUGUAGUCAAUGACCUGUAGAACUCUAUUGGGACAUUUCUGGAAAUUUUGAAAUAAAAGCCAUGAGCUUUUAUAUAUAUAUAUAUCUCCCUACAUUUAAUAUAUGGUUCAUAAAGAACCUACGAUUUGUUUCAGGUCAGUUAAUUUUUAAAUAGUUUUACAAACAGCUUUUAUCCAAAGAUUCAUUUUGGUGAAAAGAAUAAGCAUAAAGAAACCCCUGGAUCCUGUAUUUUAAACAACUUUUCCAGAGGCUUUGCUAGUCAACAAGUACAGACAGCAAACGUGAUUAUAAGGGAAUGAGUUUGAAAAAUUGCUCAUGUAACCCAAGGUUAAAUACAUGGAGACGCACACACAUACGGAGGUAUAAAAAUGCCUAACUCUAAUCUUUAUGAUCUAGUAUGUCAGGAAUUCUAUUGCCAGAAUUACACAACAAGCUGAGACCAUUUCAGAGAGAAAGAGGAAAAAAAAAAAAAAAAAAAAAAUCAAUGUCUGUGUUUUAAAGGGGAAAAAAAAAGGGACUGCAGGGAAUGGGACCAUGAGGCAUAAAUGGCCUGGGAUUUUAUCAUCUGUCUUUUGUGUCCUGGUAACCAAACAAAACAUCUGUGCCUGUAUGGCCCCCUUAUCACUCCCUCCUCUAAUAACCUGCCCUACACUCACCCCAGGUGGGUGAGAAGGGAUUUUACCUGUGUUGAUGGAAGCUUAAGAGAAGAGUCUUAAGGUUGAUCUCACUUUGAAUAUAAUAAAAAAUAUGGUUGAGUGUCUUUUGGGUUUCUUUGCAUUAAAAAAAUUUUUUUAUUAUGACUGAUUUACAGUGUUCCAUCAAUUUCUGCUGUACAGCAAAGUGACCCAGUCAUAUACAUAUGUACAUUCUUUUGAGUGUUGACUCUAUAAAUAUGCUCUUCAAGCCCCUUUAAGCCAAUUGCCAAGAAGCUGCCUUUUUCACACAAAGGUGAUAAACACAGAUUCACACAGAGGGGCCCCUUUAUGAGCCUGGGAAUAAUUCCGAAGUCCAGGAAGGAAACCGCUGUCCCCAGACUACAGAUCCAAACAGGCAGGAGGGCCUGAUCAGUUCCAUAUUCCCAGGGGAUGCCCAGAAUGGCUGAUGACCAAAUUCACAGGAACUUGAUUAACCUGAUUCUCUAAGAAACAAUUAUUAUAAGGAAAAAAAGAGGUGGAAUUUUAUAAAUAGCUAUUGUAAGACAAUAUUAUAAAAUAAUUUUUAAAAAAGACUACCAGUAGAAGGAUUCAAAUAACUCUGUUUAAAAAAAAAAAAAAUCCAUAUAGCUAGGUCCUUGAAGGAAGAGAGCUUAAGAAGGUUCUGAUCAGAGUGGCUCCAAGAUGAUGCAAAAAUCUAUGUUCUGCUGUCAUGGAUCAAAUAAACGCUGAUACAGAGAAGAUUAUCAUGGGAAGAACUGGACAAAUUAGGAAGCAAAUCUCCUGGGUUGGUCUGAAACACUACUCCAGAAUGUUGGCCAAUUCUGGGCAGGAAAAAGAUCUGGAAUACUUUAGAGGUUUUGGAAAGAACCGCAAAAUUGUUUGAAAGUUUGAGAAAUCCGAGUGAUGACUAAAACCUGAUGAUGGUUAAUAUUAAGGGAAAACUGAGCGCUGACUUCACAAAGGUCUUCGAACACAGGGAGUGAAACAUCCCAUAAGAGGUCAGGGGGCUGGAUAAACAGACUAUGGUACAUCCAUACAGCGGAACAUUACUCGGCAAAGAAGAGAAAUGAACUACCAAGCCAUUACAGAAAGGGCUUGGAUGAAUCUUAAGAGCAGACUUCUCAGUAAAAGAAGCCAGUCUGAGAAACGGAUGGACUGUGUGAGUCCAAUCAUAGAACAUUCUGGAAAAGGCAAAAACCCGACAGAGAUGAUAAACAGAGCAGUGGUUUAUCCCCAGAGGUUGGGGAGAGGGAGGAGGUUUGAAUAGGGAAGUACAGGAAAUUGUUAAGGGAGUGAAACUAUUUACAUGAUAUUAUAAUGGUAAAUAAGACCAUAAGGGUUUGUCAAAACUUAAAACUUUAUGGCAAAAAUAGUAAACCUUAAGUGUAUGAAAAAACAUUUUUUUUUCCCCACAGGUAGACUGCAGAAUGUAACUGAAGCAUCUAAAUGUUUACAGAUGUGUAUGUACAUAGAUUAGUACACACACAGGUAGGCCUUGCUCUGGCAACUCAGAGGGCAAAGGAGAGCAAAAACUACAUCUAGCGCCCAGAUCUUGGUUUCUGAUUCUCCAAUAAAAGGAACCAGGGCUCCUUGGAGGAAUGGAUGAUUCUAAGACUGGGGGAGGAAAUAAAAUAAGAUGAUCAUGGGAGUUCCCGUCGUGGCUCAGCAGUUACCCAACCCGACUAGGAUCCAAGAGGAUGUGGGUUCAAUCCCUGGCCUUGGUGAGUUAAGGAUCAAGGGUUGCUGUGAGCUGUGGUGUAGGUCACGGACUCGGCGCAGAUCUGGCCUUGCUGUGGCUGUGGCUGUGGCUGUGGCGUAGGCCAGCAGCUGUAGCUCCGAUUGGACCCCUAGCCUGGGAACCUCCAUAUGCCUCAGGGGCAACCCUAAAAAGCAAAUAAAUAAAUAAAUAAAUAAGAUGGUCACGGAAUAUCUCAUAAUAACAGAAAGUAAGGAAAUGCAUUUUAAAAACAGUACUGAGUUUAAAAUGAAUGAUAAAACAAGUUUAGGUAAUUAUGAAAAUAUUCAUGAAUUCUGCUCUCUAAAUGGUUUCCAAACACCUGCAAAUUGUCUGGCCACUUUGAAGAACCACCAAUUUUAGUUGAUGAAUUAUUGAUUUGUUUAAUAGAAAAGCUGGAUGAUGCAAAUUUUCUUUUAGAGGCAACGAACUCCACAAUUAAAUUUCAGCAAAUGAAUACAUAUUAUAUUUGAAACUCAGAAAGUCAUAUUCGGUUUCAUGAGAACUGUGUGAUCACUUAAGAAACACUUUACAUUUAUGGCUAUUUUUUCCCAAGAAUUUCUGUUUAAAUUCAUUUCCAGUUUUACUUCCUCUUUUAGCAAACUCAUUAAUAACAGUACCAAGGUUGGUUACGAUUUCCUGUUUCAUCUUCUGCGCAUUUAAAUGUAUUCAUUGUGUUUUAUUUUUCAUUUGUUUUUAGAACCUUACUGUACCUUAAAGGAGUUUUUUUUUUUUAACUACGUAAAUUUAAAUCUUCUGACAAAAAUAUCAUUUAUAUCUUCAACUUAAAAAAAAAAAAAAAAAAAA